AUUGAACGCUGGCGGCAGGCCUAACACAUGCAAGUCGAGCGGAUGAAGGGAGCUUGCUCCUGGAUUCAGCGGCGGACGGGUGAGUAAUGCCUAGGAAUCUGCCUGGUAGUGGGGGAUAACGUCCGGAAACGGGCGCUAAUACCGCAUACGUCCUGAGGGAGAAAGUGGGGGAUCUUCGGACCUCACGCUAUCAGAUGAGCCUAGGUCGGAUUAGCUAGUUGGUGGGGUAAAGGCCUACCAAGGCGACGAUCCGUAACUGGUCUGAGAGGAUGAUCAGUCACACUGGAACUGAGACACGGUCCAGACUCCUACGAGAGGCAGCAGUGGGGAAUAUUGGACAAUGGGCGAAAGCCUGAUCCAGCCAUGCCGCGUGUGUGAAGAAGGCCUUCGGAUUGUAAAGCACUUUAAGUUGGGAGGAAGGGCAGUAAGUUAAUACCUUGCUGUUUUGACGUUACCAACAGAAUAAGCACCGGCUAACUUCGUG
RNAcentral lists this ribosomal RNA (484 nucleotides) under uncultured bacterium. RNAcentral's name for it is "partial 16S ribosomal RNA". It matches the Rfam family "Bacterial small subunit ribosomal RNA", at positions 30 to 507 of the family's 1533-position model. The record is from RNAcentral.